Molecule: non-coding RNA, 957 nt
Organism: Durio zibethinus
Lineage: Eukaryota; Viridiplantae; Streptophyta; Magnoliopsida; Malvales; Malvaceae
Source: RefSeq, a predicted model, not a curated record
GCCAAUUCUUAACGGCUCAUAAAAAUGAUAUCUUCAGCUUUCCUUAUGCAAAUACAUGGCCUAUCCACAUCGAUUAAUUGAGAUCGUAUCAAGUUGCAUCAUUUUUGGAGGUGAUUAAAUGCCCAUGCCCUUCGGAGAUGACAAUUUCUUAUUUCACCUUCUGCAGCUUCAGAAAGUGAAAGAGGAAAUUGCUAAAGCGGACUUCAGUGUUGCCCGGCACAACCUCUACUUCUGUUAGUAGCCGCUGGUUUGGCAAUCACAUUAUAAACAGCAUUCAGCUCUUGGGGAUCCCACUUUUGUGGAGAAUUACUUCAAGCUGAGCCAAAAUAUUCUACUUAUUAAGGAGGACUUUAUCAUUGCCCACUUGCAGUUUGUCUGCACAUGUUGCCAUAGACCUAUAUUAUCCGGAUGGCAAUGGUUUUGCAGUCUUUGUAAAAACUUUCAGCUAUGUGAAAGGUAAAUCAUUCUAUAUCCUCUUAUUUAUUAGAAUAUGCUCUUUGGCAGUUUUUGUGCAAUUUUUUCUUGUUGAUUUCUGGUUGGCACUAUAUUUCCUUCUUGGAGCUCCAUUGAGGCGUGAAGUUAUGAGCAACCUCGACUAGCUGGACUCUUAACUUUUAGAUGGUUAUGCCCUGUCUAGAAGUAAAUUUGAAAACAUAAAGCUAUAAGAUGAUAACAAUAUUAAGUUUCUUUAUUGAUUCAGUUUGUGUAUAAAUAUUCAGAUUGGAACUAUUUAGAGUUCCAAAGAAUGCUUGAAAAGCAACUUAUCACCUUUGUGAAAUGAGUUUUUUGUUACCAAGUUUAGUAAUAAUAAUGCAUUUGUGUCUUACAAAUGGGAAAUGUUUUAUUAUACCUAUCCAUGGAUUUAAAUUACGGUAGCGGUCACGUUUUCGGUCGCGUCACGUUUGUUAUGGUUGCGGAUAUAACGGAGAUCUUCGAGGUCAUUGCGGCUAUCGCGAU